AAGUUACAGCACUGACAUUUCCCUGAAAGUUUUUAAGUUAUGACACUUUGCACAUGGCAGAACGACUACUGGAAUUUCAGACAAAGGCAAUGCAUGUUCUCGACCUGGACUUCUUUUGCAUGACAGAUGUUCACAGAAUGAAAAAAAAGGAAUGAGCAUAACACAGCCUUGUAAAUAGCCUGCGUUAGAAUGGUAGCUAUGCACACGUCAAAGUGUUUGAGAUGCACUUGGAAUGAACUCCUGGUAAGAGCACACGACAGGACAUUUUUUGAGCAAUAUACCAAGUCGAGAUCCAGUUAAUGUUCUGGUGAGGAUCUGAACACAGAGGCUCCAGAAACGGGGUCAGGAUAGGUGGGGGGAGGGGCAGACAGGUUUUACUGCAAGGUUUUACCGCCCCCAAAGUCCUAAGGGUUGGCUACCCCUCUACUAUAGUAAAUUAGGCCCUUGUUUCACAGUGACAAAAAAGUUCGUGUAGGCAGAACGAAUCCCAGCUCUUGCCCACCGCACUGCCAAAUACACUGCCAGAGCCCCAGCUUAUACAUGAUCUACAUAUCAAAGUAAGUUACAGGUGCCCGUAUCUGGAUUCAAAUAAUUAUAAGUACUACAUUAAUUGAGCCGCAGCAUUGAAAUGCUAUAGGCAUGCUAUAAGCA
Molecule: long non-coding RNA, 651 nt
Filed under: Dermacentor andersoni
Lineage: Eukaryota; Metazoa; Arthropoda; Arachnida; Ixodida; Ixodidae
Description: uncharacterized LOC126530021
Source: RNAcentral